Long non-coding RNA from Acanthopagrus latus (yellowfin seabream), 826 nucleotides. RefSeq lists it as uncharacterized. NCBI's taxonomy places the organism in Eukaryota, Metazoa, Chordata, Actinopteri, Spariformes, Sparidae. The record is from RefSeq and is a predicted model, not a curated record. The transcript has 3 exons.
AUGCACACAUGCACGCACGCACAUACACACACACACACACUUCUUAUUCAUGUUGGAGACACAGAGGACAAGUCAGAGGCAAAGAAAGGCUUGGCUGGUCCAACACUGGGCCGGGGGUGGGUCUUGAUUUAUGAUCUUGGAUGAACUGAAGGCAGCACUGAGAGUUUUAUUGUCUUUUACAAGCUCAAAUACGAAGCGUGGAUUCAUAACAAGCCCCUAAUAUCAUCACUUUGCACCUAUUUUUUGUUUUAUCCAGGCUCAUGCUGUGAUAUUUCCAGGUAUGCGAGACAUUUUAAAUCUCUCCUCUGUUCUUUCAUGACAUGUGGUUUGUUAUCUGGGAAAUGUAAACGGCUACAGUAUCAGCUUAUAACAACGCCUAAUAAGGUAAUGUGUCUCCUCUGCUCAUCCAGCGUCUGUCUGGAUACCAUUCAGUGCUCCCAGAGCUCACAAUGGCUCGGACAAAGAGCGGCAUGCAAGGGUCAAUUAAAAAACUGACUAUUCCCCCCACAGGAUCUGCAGAGCUACAUGGGUUAACCAGAAUCAGGUUGGAGUAUUUCAGUCUGGACCAAAGUGGUGGAUGGACCCACAGGCUCACUUUGCCAUCCCUAGAACCUUGCUGCUAUCCAAAAAUGACAUGACGAAUUAUUAAGAAGACUUCGUACAGCUCGUCUAGCUCUUUCUCCGAGUCCUCCGGUUUGGUGUGGACCGGGAUCAGCACUAUGUCCUUCAGCUCUGCAAACCAGAACAACCCCGUCAACUACCAAUGCUCGUCUCCAACAACAUGCCCCACCGUUACAACUUCAUCAUGUAUUCAAGCAGAAAAUGC